CUGGCUCAGGACGAACGCUGGCGGCGUGCCUAAUACAUGCAAGUCGAGCGGACUUCUGGGAGCUUGCUCCCGGAAGUCAGCGGCGGACGGGUGAGUAACACGUGGGCAACCUGCCUGUAAGACUGGGAUAACUUCGGGAAACCGGAGCUAAUACCGGAUAAUUCUUUCCCUCACAUGAGGGAAAGCUGAAAGAUGGUUUCGGCUAUCACUUACAGAUGGGCCCGCGGCGCAUUAGCUAGUUGGUGAGGUAACGGCUCACCAAGGCAACGAUGCGUAGCCGACCUGAGAGGGUG
This 293-nucleotide ribosomal RNA is filed under the name Cytobacillus oceanisediminis. RNAcentral describes it as "Bacillus oceanisediminis partial 16S ribosomal RNA". It matches the Rfam family "Bacterial small subunit ribosomal RNA", at positions 19 to 302 of the family's 1533-position model. The record is from RNAcentral. Lineage: Bacteria; Bacillati; Bacillota; Bacilli; Caryophanales; Bacillaceae.